UUAUAAAUUACCCAGCUUCAGAAAUUCCUUUCUAGCAAUGCAGAUGGACUGAGACACCUCCUAAGGAAGUUGAGAGAGCUUGGGCAUGCAAGUCCACAAUAGAGCAUGCAAUCACGAAAAAACCUGCGUGAAUUCUAAAAUGAGCCCCUGAGCCAUAGGGAAUAACAGGGGGCUUUUAGUGACUUGCAUAAGGAUUUUCACACUGUUUGCAAGUCAUUUAGGGCAGGUGGGCAUGCAUCAUGAUCCAUAAUACUCUUGUGCUCCCUCUUCCAGCCAUCUUUGGCCCCUUUACCUUCACAUCUUCCCUGCUGGAACCCAGCCUGGAAAAAUGGUGAGUUGAGCUCCCCCUGGGGGGCUCCCAUGGCUGUCCCCUCCUUCCAGAGGCAUAUAUGGGGGUAAAUGUGGGCCUGGAGAGAUCCUGGAACAUCGUGCUGUCUCAUGGAUGGCAGGCCUUCAGCGUCACUGAGCGUUCACACCUGAAACCAUUAAAGGUUAUUCGCCUUUUAAUUCUGUAUGGUUGCUCUCACUCCUUCCUUAGAGAAACCUCUGAUUUUCAUUUGCGAGACGCUCGGCUGAGCUUGUCAUACCCUAAAAGGUGAUUUCAGUUCUCCGAUGCCAAAGAACCUCUUCCGCUAAUCAAAACACAGCUGCAGAGGCCUGUGUGAUCUGCUAAUGGGCACCCCAACUCUGGGGUAUGUCUGUCUGUACCUGGGAAAAUAGAUAUAAUUAGGAUAACAGAUAUCAUAUGUAUAUGCAAAUGCAGCAGGUAAAAAUGACUAGAAAUGGCUGGAGUUUGCCAAAUCCCAUCAGACCAACUAUGUAGCUUAACCAGACGCUAACACCAUCACCACCAGGCCUUCCCCAGUACCAGCCCUGGUGCCCUUGCUUCAUCUUCUUUUCUCCACCGUGCUGGAACCCUCAUGCAAGUUAUUUUUAUUUCUAUUUUUUUAUAGAUAGGGUCUCACUCUGUUGCCCAGACUGGAGUGCAGUGGCACAAUCAUGGUUCACUGCAGCCUCAAACUCCUGGGUUCAAGUGAUCCUCCCGCCUCAGGCUCCUGAGUAGCUGGGACUACAGGCCUGCACCACCAUGCCCAGCUAAUCUUUAAAUUUUCUGUAGAGACAAGGUCUUGCCAUGUUGCCCAGGCUGGUCUUGAACCCCUGGCCUCAAGCAAUCCUCGCACCUCAGCCUCUCAAUGUGUUGGGAUUGCCUAUUUUUAUUUUUUAAUAUAACAAUAGAUCCCCAUAGUUUUCUGAAGAGGCUCUUUCAAGAGCUUCAGGUCUUAUGAGGCUGCAGGGAUCCUAGCAUCUGAGAAGCCAGUGGGGGAAAGAUGGACAAUAGAGAGGGCCUCUUCAGUGUUUUUCCUUUAAUGAGGGUUUGAUCCCCUCAAUGACAGCAUCAGGAUUGGAGAGGACCCAGUGCAUCAUUACCAAGCCCAAGUUGCCUUUGCAAAGAGAACCACCCCAUAAGGAUGAGAACCACCCCAAACCUUCUUGUCUGGAGUCAGAAGGCUCAGGCUGAAAUUCUGUUUCUGCCUCUUCCUUGUGGUGUGCACUUAGGCAAGUGACUUACCUCUCUGUGUGUUGUGUUCUUCACCCUAAAUGGGCACAAUAACAGCACUCACCUCAAACGGCCUGCAAUAUGUAAGCUCUCAGAUGAUGUUUUCCUUUGUGAUAGGUGCAUGGGCAGGUGAAGAGAGUCAAACAUCAGGCCCAGGGUUCUCACUCCACUGCAUUACUCCAUCUACCUGCCCACGGAUAAAUCACUUCACCGUUCUGAGCCUCACUUUCUUCAUUUGUUAAGUGGGCUAAUAAUGGAUGGAUGUCAUAGUGCUGUGUAACAGUAAACAACAACAUGCCAUUAAACAGAAGCUAGUUAUGCAUGUGGAGUAAUGAUGUCUGCAUUUUUGGGGACUGCCAAGUCUGAUAAGAUUGAAGAGCAUCUCAGCUGGGCACGGUAGCUCAUGCCUGUAAUCCCAGCACUUGGGGAGGCUGAGGCGAUGCUCUGUGUCUGAUAGGGGUUAAGGAAGUCAUCACUCCCAUCUGGUCUAUCAAAAGGGCUGCAAAACUAUGCAGGCAAACGACCUGGGCACUGCCUUUAUCGAGCUGUGCAGCCAUUGAACAAGGGCAUCCAACUUCACCAAACUAGGAAAGCCUGCAUGUGCACAUCCAUCUCUGCUGUUGGGAUUGGGGCCUAUGCCUGUUCCCAUUCUGUAUGCUGUGUGCUUGACACAGUGCCUGGUGCAUUACGUGCUCAAGAAAUAUGUAUUGAUUGAUGGAUGAAUAAAUGAAAUCAUCUGCAUCCGUGGAUGAAUAGAUGGUCAAUUACAUUGUCAAUUUUCUACCCUGUGGGUGGAGUGGAAAAAGCAGUCAGAAUCUUGGUCCUUUUGCAAAUGGUGGAAAAGGACAAUAUUUGUAGAGUGUGUACAGACUUUGCAGUCAGAGCCAUGUUCAAUUCUCAAUAUUGCCGUAUCUUAGCAGUGAGCUUAUUCAAACGUCAGUUUAAGAAAAUGUGCUAACCUUCAGCUUCCUCAUCUGUAAAAUGAGGAUAAAAAUAUUGCCUCCUUUAUAAAAUUAUUGUGUAGAUGCUAUAAAUUUGUACAUGCCAGGGCCUGGCAUGUUACCAAAUAGAAGGUGGUAGAAUGGAAAUGAAUCUCCUUCUUACUUCCCCUCUGCACUACACAGAUUUCAAGGAUAUUGUUUUAUACCCAGCCAAGUCUGAAGCACUGGAAGUGGAUCCGAUCUUUUACCUAACUCUAGCAUUGAUGUUUUUUAUUCUGUUGAAGGCAUCAAUAUUUGUUUAAUAGUAUAAAUCUUAAAUAAACAUCUAAACUAC
Molecule: long non-coding RNA, 2833 nt
Filed under: Homo sapiens (human)
Lineage: Eukaryota; Metazoa; Chordata; Mammalia; Primates; Hominidae
Description: SALL1 antisense RNA 1
Source: RNAcentral